GGUCAUCAUUUCUUUUCUUAGUUUGGUAAUGAAUCUAUGUGUUCAUUUAUGAGAUUAUAGAACAAUUUUUGCUUCUUAUUAUUUGUUCAGACUGGGGUUCAUGUGAUAUUUGUUUUCAUGUAUUUAUCUUAUUAAGUAAUAUGUAGCAUCUGUGUUCUACUUGUACUUGUUUCAUCAUAGAAGCUGCUGAGUUAAUAAAUGAACUUGUGUCAAGUAUGACAAAUAGUCGUUUAUAGCUAUAUAUAUUACUUGGUUACCUCCAUGUCAUCCUCACCAAUGCUUUGCUUACUGAUUAUCGUUACAUGGUCAAAGGAUAUUCCAGGGCUACAUUUAUAUGUAGGUUAGAGGUAGCAAAACGGGCCAGCCGGUGGUACUAAGUAACUAUGUGGUCAUUUAUGAGUUUAUAGAACAUCAUCAUUGGGUUGGACUGGAUCCUGACUCUUAUGGCUUUGAAAAUAAGGAUUUGUGUGUUCAACUCACUGUUCUGUGGGCUGUAUGACAAGGAGAUCGAGACAGUUGAACACAUGUUUUGUUCUUGCGAAGUUGCUAUGGCUGUUUGGUAUAAGAUUUCCCAUUGGUGUAUGUUCUCCCCUAUUUUUCUUUUUCGGUCAAGGAUCUCUUCAAGGUGCACCAACACCCUACAACAAGUGAAAGCUUUUAGUUUUUUUGUGGUAUAAUAAUAGAAGCGAGUAAAGUAGUUUCGCUGUAAUGUAACUCUAUUCUUGUAUACUCUUACCAUUUUGGUGGCUAUUGGCUGUUGUGAAUAAAAGUAAAAAAAUUUUCUAAAAAAAUUA
Molecule: long non-coding RNA, 794 nt
Organism: Erigeron canadensis
Lineage: Eukaryota; Viridiplantae; Streptophyta; Magnoliopsida; Asterales; Asteraceae
Exons: 2
Source: RefSeq, a predicted model, not a curated record